This is a long non-coding RNA of Astatotilapia calliptera (eastern happy), 1863 nucleotides long. NCBI's taxonomy places the organism in Eukaryota, Metazoa, Chordata, Actinopteri, Cichliformes, Cichlidae. The record is from Ensembl.
ACACCUUGGGGAUUUUUAAUGUAGCUCGUUUGUUAGAAAUAUUUGUGAAUAACUGUAGUUUUCAUUAUAUUUUAUAUGUGACAGCAUUGGGAGUAACAGCAUAAUUUCAGUAAAUUAAACAGAAGAUCUUAAUAUUAGUGCCACCUUUUAUUUUUUUAGAUUCAUAGAAAAGAAGUAAAAUACCCGCACUCAGCUUCUUCCAUAUUAAAAAAAAUAUGUUGAAGACAUGAAGACAGUGUUAUAGAGAAAAGAAAAUCAAACUAAAUGUGGUAUCUAUAUGUAAUGUAUAUAUGAAAACUCGGUUAAAACAUUUCACAUUAAUGCUUUCAGCAUUGUCAGUGUUUGGAUCCAGAUCACUGCACCACAGAUGCCACCAUUAAACACAGGAGGUGAUCUGAAAUUCAGAUUAAAACAAAAAUGUCGCUCGCGCGCACACACACAUUAGCAGAUCUGUCAAACUGUGACCAAAUUUCCUGAAGCCUAAACAGGCAUUCUUUCCAACUGACAGAUUUAUCGAGCUCCUCAUCAAGUUUUCAUAAAACAUUCCAGCUUUGAGGUCGGACCACCUGCACAAACAGGCAAGUUCAGGCAGAAGCUUUAAGAUGUCAUUGGCUGAAAGUCUGUGACAGUUGGAGCACUGAUGGUGUAUCUGCUGCAGGCUCAAACAUGUGUGCUGCUCCUACUUCAACACACAACAGGUAUGUGCAAAGGCGUAGCAUGCGGUAUCACACUUCAGUGCAGCAAUUCACAAUACAGGGUAAAUAUUUCACAUCGAAAUGUCAAUAAACUCAAAGAAACAUGAACACUAACUGAGACGUGAGAAAUGACUAAAAACAGCUGUGAAGAAAUUCAUGAAGAAAACCAAGAAAAGAUACUAAAAAUAUACAAAAAGUCCAAAAACAACAGAGAAGAAAUGCAGACUCUGCGGCAUGUUUCUAAGUUUAUCUAAAAUGCCUGCAACAGUUUGGCCUGAACAUAGCUGGUGAGUCACCCGACCACAGAAAAACAUAUAAAUCUGAAAAAAAAACAUUAAGAAAGAGAUGCAAAGCCAGAACAACACGAUGCAAAUUCAACAAAAGGAGAUCGAAAAUGGCUAAACGGGCGAAAAUAUCCCAUAAGAGAAAAAUAAGAAAAGAAACAUGAAUAAGCAAGAAAACCACAAAAACACAACGAGACAAAGAGCAGCAAAAAAGAAGGACAAAGUGAACAACACUGUUAUCCCUUAUGCAGCAAGUUUGUCAGACAAACCCAGGAGAGUCUUCUCCAAGCACAACAUCACAGUGUACUUCAGAUCCAGCCACACACUCAGACUAAAAACUGGCUCAUUCCAAAGACAAAACUCCUAAACACAAACUUAACAAUGUGGUGUCUGCUGUACAGUGCAGCGAGGAAUGCCCAGACCUCUGAGGAAGAAGAACCUGGACCAGGAACUGCUGCUGGCCUUCUACAGCUCCUCAGUGAAGAGCGUGCUCCUCCUGCAUGGGUUUUGGUACUCAGGGGCCAUGACUGAGAACAGUAAGGCCGGGCAGAGGGUCAUUAACACCACCUAAAAACUCAAUGGCUGCCCUCUGCCACCCCUGAAGGCCAUCGCCAGAUCCUCCUGUCUCAGGUAAACCAGGGCCAUUGCAGGUGACCACCAGAAAAAAGCAUGUUGAAAAAAUCCAUCCAAGUUUCAUCUGUGUGACCAACAGUGAGCUCAAGAAAAGAAACCAAAGAAGGAGAAAAAGCCCAACAGUGAAGUCCAGGCUGUAUUCAUAUGUUAACAGUCUUCUGUAGUGUUUCAGCUGAUAGACCUCAGCAGCAGUAUAAAAUCUCCUCCAUAUUUAAACUUCUUCAGCUUUUUUACAUCUGCAAGCCCCUUUG